RNAcentral lists this ribosomal RNA (241 nucleotides) under uncultured Prevotella sp. Its description in RNAcentral is "partial 16S ribosomal RNA". Lineage: Bacteria; Pseudomonadati; Bacteroidota; Bacteroidia; Bacteroidales; Prevotellaceae. The record is from RNAcentral.
GGAGUUUGGACCGUGUCUCAGUUCCAAUGUGGGGGACCUUCCUCUCAGAACCCCUACUGAUCGUUGGCCAGGUGGGCCGUUACCCCGCCUGCAACCUAAUCAGACGCAUCCCCAUCCCAUAGCGAUGAAUCUUUGCUUGACGUUAGAUGUCUGCUGUCAAGAACAUAGGGAAUUAAUCCGACUUUCGCUGGGCUAUUCCCGACUAUGGACAGAUUGCACACCUGUUACGCACCCGUGCGCC